This 548-nucleotide ribosomal RNA is filed under the name uncultured Glomeromycotina. Its description in RNAcentral is "SSU rRNA". It matches the Rfam family "Eukaryotic small subunit ribosomal RNA", at positions 548 to 1098 of the family's 1831-position model. The record is from RNAcentral. Lineage: Eukaryota; Fungi; Glomeromycota.
UUGGAGGGCAAGUCUGGUGCCAGCAGCCGCGGUAAUUCCAGCUCCAAUAGCGUAUAUUAAAGUAGUUGCAGUUAAAAAGCUCGUAGUUGAAUUUCGGGGUCAGUAGGUCGGUCGUGCCACUGGUAUGAACUGGUUUUACUGAUUCCUCCCUCUUGAAGAACUGUAAUGCCAUUAAUUUGGUGUUGCAGGGAAUCAGGACUGUUACUUUGAAAAAAUAGAGUGUUUAAAGCAGGCUUUAGCUUGAAUACAUUAGCAUGGAAUAAUGAAAUAGGACGUUUGAUCCUAUUUUGUUGGUUUCUAGGAUUGACGUAAUGAUUAAUAGGGAUAGUUGGGGGCAUCAGUAUUCAAUUGUCAGAGGUGAAAUUCUUGGAUUUAUUGAAGACUAACUACUGCGAAAGCAUUUGCCAAGGAUGUUUUCAUUAAUCAAGAACGAAAGUUAGGGGAUCGAAGACGAUCAGAUACCGUCGUAGUCUUAACCAUAAACUAUGCCGACUAGGGAUCGGAUGAUGUUAAUUUUUUAAUGACUCAUUCGGCGCCUUACGGGAAAC